Molecule: transfer RNA, 72 nt
Filed under: Bacillus cereus
Lineage: Bacteria; Bacillati; Bacillota; Bacilli; Caryophanales; Bacillaceae
Also listed under: 4 other names
Description: tRNA-Gly
Rfam family: tRNA
About the family: Transfer RNA (tRNA) molecules are approximately 80 nucleotides in length. Their secondary structure includes four short double-helical elements and three loops (D, anti-codon, and T loops). Further hydrogen bonds mediate the characteristic L-shaped molecular structure. tRNAs have two regions of fundamental functional importance: the anti-codon, which is responsible for specific mRNA codon recognition, and the 3' end, to which the tRNAs corresponding amino acid is attached (by aminoacyl-tRNA synthetases). tRNAs cope with the degeneracy of the genetic code in two manners: having more than one tRNA (with a specific anti-codon) for a particular amino acid; and 'wobble' base-pairing, i.e. permitting non-standard base-pairing at the 3rd anti-codon position.
Source: RNAcentral
GGGCUAUUAGUGUAGCGGUUAUCACCCCUGCCUUCCAAGCAGGAAACAUCGGUUCGAUUCCGAUAUAGCUCU